Molecule: small nuclear RNA, 173 nt
Gene: U2
Rfam family: U2 spliceosomal RNA
About the family: U2 is a small nuclear RNA (snRNA) component of the spliceosome (involved in pre-mRNA splicing). Complementary binding between U2 snRNA (in an area lying towards the 5' end but 3' to hairpin I) and the branchpoint sequence (BPS) of the intron results the bulging out of an unpaired adenosine, on the BPS, which initiates a nucleophilic attack at the intronic 5' splice site, thus starting the first of two transesterification reactions that mediate splicing.
Source: Ensembl
AUCACUUCUCGGCCUUUUGACUAAGAUCAAGUGUAGUGUCUGUUCUUAUCAGUAAAAACGUUGGCCAUUUCUUAAUUCAUAGGGAAGUACAAGUGUCCCAUUGAAGAUGAAGUGACCUAUUGAAAGUCAGGAGUAUUAUUUCAUUACACAGCAAAAGCUCUAUUCCAACACAC